GGGACUUUAGCAAAGGUGGUCAAUGCGCCGGACUGAAAAUCCGAAGAUCGUGGUUCGACUCCACGGAGUCCCGC
Molecule: transfer RNA, 74 nt
Filed under: Endomicrobiia bacterium
Lineage: Bacteria; Pseudomonadati; Elusimicrobiota; Endomicrobiia
Description: tRNA-Phe
Rfam family: tRNA
About the family: Transfer RNA (tRNA) molecules are approximately 80 nucleotides in length. Their secondary structure includes four short double-helical elements and three loops (D, anti-codon, and T loops). Further hydrogen bonds mediate the characteristic L-shaped molecular structure. tRNAs have two regions of fundamental functional importance: the anti-codon, which is responsible for specific mRNA codon recognition, and the 3' end, to which the tRNAs corresponding amino acid is attached (by aminoacyl-tRNA synthetases). tRNAs cope with the degeneracy of the genetic code in two manners: having more than one tRNA (with a specific anti-codon) for a particular amino acid; and 'wobble' base-pairing, i.e. permitting non-standard base-pairing at the 3rd anti-codon position.
Source: RNAcentral